UGCCGUCCCGCCCCUGCCCCGGAGCGGCCCCGCGCCCCGGCCCGCAGCGGCGGGCGGCGGGGGGCGCCCGCGGGCGGCGGCGGGAGCGCGGGCGCGGGGGUGGCCGAGGAGCGGCGGCGGCGUGAACGCGGCUGCAGAGCCCCAGCGAGCCGCGGGAGCGGGAGCGCCGCGCCCGCCGCAGCCGCCGGAGCCGGGCGAGGAGCAGCCCGGCCGCCCGGAGCCGCCGGGAGAGGGUCGCGGCCGCGGCAGCCCCGCGGGGAGGCAGCCAGGGCCCCUCGGCGAAACGCGACCCCCCGCCCCGCCGCCUCCGCCCGCCCCCAGCGAAGAGAAACAAAACAAAACCCCGGGACCGCCACGCUCUCCCUCCUUCUCCGCUUGGCAUUUGGUGGUGGUUUUUUUUUUUUCUUUUUUUUUCUUUUUUUAUUUUUUUCUUGGGGAUUCUCCUCUCUCCUGCCAGACUGACUUGCACCUUCUUGAUAAUUUCUCUUCCCCUCGUUUUUUUAUACUCUUCUCCCUGCUUUCAAACCCUCUGUCUGUCUGUUUCAAUACUAUCACAACCUCCGCUAAAAAUAGAUCUUUUUAUAUACCCUUCCUCCUCUCUGACCCCAUCCAACACCCCUUGUUAAGUGUAAGGGCUGAAUACUGAACACUUUCUUUGCUGUAUGCACUGAAGAGCCUAAGAUAAGGGUCAAGAGAAGCUACCUUUGAGGUCUCGUUCAUGGCCAUCGACUAGAAAGCUAUGCACAUAAUGCACCAUCUAAUUAACUCCAGAGAGCAGAGCAGUCAUUUUCCCAUCAAAAUUCGCUCAUGAACUUUUGGAGCUGUUUCUUCAUAGUAGCUGAGGUCCCCUGCCAGCAAUUCCAAACAAGCUAUGGGAUGCUAUGUGGCAAAAUCUAGUUCUUUCUCCUGCAUCUGUGAAGAGCCUUGGAGAAGCAGCAGCCAGUGAAGCACUUGUCCUCUUGUUGUUGUGGUUCAGAAGUGCUAGCAGAGCAGCUGAUGAGCCCUCCUGGAGCUAUUCAGAAAGCACAUACUUGCACCAAAGUAUGAGGCAGAGAAUAUUGUUGCCUUUUUUAUAUGAGUAGUUAAAGACAGUAUAUGGAGUAAUGAGUCUCAAACAAAAAAAUAAAAUGGUAGCACUAGAACUUAGAGACGGAUUCCCAGGCCAUACUUUUUAAACUGUCCUUGAUAUAGUGAAUGAAUUUAAGCAAAGGGUCUGGGGGAACAGGUACCAAAUACUAUUAGACUGCGCAGUGACUGCUGGCCUCUUUUGUACUGUAUAUGAAAGUCAUCCAGAGUCUGGCAAAAAAAGAAAGAGGAAUCUCGCUUUCAAGCUUGAUGAUGAAUGGGCAACCAGACUGCCUACUUGUGGAUAAAAAUGAUGGUUUGUUUUCAGAUGAAGGUUUUGGUGUGGUUUCUAUAUGAAAUUCUUCCUCUCUAAGAAAGCUAAGAAGUUCUUUUCUCAGCGUGACUGGCAUUAACAGUCCAAGACAAAGCCUGCACGGUAGUUAUUCCUUGCUAGAACUCUUCAGAAAUUGUAAUUUCCAUUUCCCCAAAAACUAUGACUCCAAUAUUUUCCUUUCCAAAACAGAAACUAAGUGACACUUUGUCACUUUGUCUCUGAAAAAAAGCUGCUGGGAGAAAAAGACUGUAGAGAUAUUAAUAUAAAUAAAUAUUUAAUCUUUUUCUGCUCAUAACUAGCUCUGGUCUUAGUAUGUUUUCGUGGUUAAACCCCAGCUGGUAACUGAGCCCCACACUGCUCUCCCUCCCUCCCUCUGCCAGUGGGGUGGGGGAGAGAAUUGGAAGAGCAAAAGUGAGAAAACUCAAGGGCUGAGAUACAGAUGGUUUAAUAGGUAAAGCAAAACAAGGAAUUCAUUCACCA
This is a long non-coding RNA of Falco peregrinus (peregrine falcon), 1879 nucleotides long. RefSeq lists it as uncharacterized. The record is from RefSeq and is a predicted model, not a curated record. The transcript has 4 exons. NCBI's taxonomy places the organism in Eukaryota, Metazoa, Chordata, Aves, Falconiformes, Falconidae.